AUAUAGGCCUUAUUAAAGACCAUCAAAAUUUAAAACUAUGUUAUAU
Molecule: non-coding RNA, 46 nt
Organism: Musca domestica (house fly)
Lineage: Eukaryota; Metazoa; Arthropoda; Insecta; Diptera; Muscidae
Source: Rfam